This 3608-nucleotide long non-coding RNA is filed under the name Nicotiana benthamiana. RNAcentral's name for it is "long non-coding RNA (NBEN_LNC006405)". Lineage: Eukaryota; Viridiplantae; Streptophyta; Magnoliopsida; Solanales; Solanaceae. The record is from RNAcentral.
ACAGACUCAUCUUUGGCAACGGUUCUUGAAAAAAGAACUACUGGGUCAGAAUCCCUGUUUUCCCUCCCCGUUUUCCCUCUUCUAAAUUUUGCACACCCUGUUUUCACAAAUGAAAGACUAAAUGUCUGAAGGAAAAACAAAAAGAAAAAGUAAAAGUCCUAAUACAGAUACGAAAAACAAAAAGCCUAAAUUUGAUACAAGCCCUAAAAGAUCGACUUGCCAUCCACACUCAAGCUACCACGGAGAAAAUCUUAGGAAGAAAAUAUUUGUUCAGCCCCAAAAGACAUGUCGUCCCUAGAGGUUCUGAUCUCUAUCCAACUCUGUUUUUUCUUAAAAUAGAUUUAUUUUCUUAUAUUUUUUCUCUCAUUCAUCAACAGAGAGCUUGUUGAGGCAUCUCCAGUUUGAAGCUAACUUAAGUCUCAUCUCCUUUACACUUGGUAAGAUUCAUGUUAUGUACUUGUUUAUUAAUUUAUUUAUUUAUCGAGUAAAAGACAAAUUGGGAAUAAAUUAUUGAGGUAGCUAAUUCUACAAAUUUAUAUGUUUCUUUGCUCUUUGUGAAGGUAAUUAGAUAAAGUAAAGCAAAGACCUCGAAUCGAUUUUUUGCCGGUCUUCCUAAACAUGUUUUUAAUUUCAAUUAGGAUAAUUCUCUCUAAUUAGUUUACAAAUCGCUGUGGUCUGUGAUUUCGACUUUAGAUUUUUGUUGAUUUUUUCUUUUGUUGUCAUUUCUUUGUCGAUUAUUGUAUCUUUUUGCUUCAGGCGUUAGUGUGUUGUUAAUUGUUUAUGAGAAGUAUAGUGCUGGAGUAUUCAUAUUAAGAAAUUCUUUUAUGCUCUAUCAAAAUAAUAUUGAAUUUUUCAACUAAAUAACUAUGAAAACUUAAGGAGGCACAGGGACCUUCACAUUCUAGCAAUAAGUCUAGAGUUUAUACUAAGAAAUUUGUGUCUAGGUUAAUCUAACUAGGUGGUGCAGCUCUGAAAAUUGGGUUUAAGAAAGUCAAUACACUUGUGUGUGCUUUAGGACGGAAGAUAUGUCCUAAACCUUACCCUCGUUAUGUACUCAGUUAGUUUUCUUGAGUUUCUUUCUUCUCGAGAAAAUUAAAUCAAUGGUGGGGCUACGUUUAUGUCCAAGAGAACAACAAUUUAUGAGCAUAAUCCCAUGGCUCAACUAGUGCUUUAUAGUUAAAGUGAAGAAAAAUCUUUUACCUUCUCCAGUGUUCUAAUUCUAAAGUUCGAAAUGGAUUUCAGAUAUUCCAUGGCAUACAAAGUCUCAUAUCUAUUUUCCCUUAUGUGUUUGAGCAGUUUAUUUUUGGUUAAGAUUGUGGAUUCUUCAUUCGUGAAGCAAUACUCAUUAGAUGUAAUGACAUUACAAUUAGAAAGAUCAAAUAAUCGACCCUUGAGAACUUUGGUAUGAAUGCUUCUGCUUUCUGUUGUUCAUCUUUUAGUUCGUUACUUUGAGUCAAUAGAAAGUUAAUAUGACAAUUAAGAGCCUCACAAUCUUAUUUUGAUUAUAGAUCUUAAAACCUUUUUAUUCCAUAUGUGAGGUUCAAACAUUGACAUCACAUAGACAAUAUCAAGCAUAUUCACAUAAAGGCUUUUCCUCCUGUAAUCACAACAUUUAAAAGCUCAUGAAGUGAAGAUGUGGAAACAUUAUUUCCUCAAAUAACUUAAACAAUCUCUUGCAUCAGCGCUAAGGCAAUGAUCAAUAGCGAAGCAGGUCAUGCGUCAUAUUACUCUUCGUCUUAUUACUCUUUCUCAUCCUUGCACAUAGUUUCCCCAAUCUGUCUUGCAGAUAUGAGCUGCGAAAAGUUUUUGAGCAAUUUGUAGAAGCUUUUUUUGUUGUUUGCAUUUACUGUUAUAUUUGCUAUAAAAUCUUAGUUUUCAUAUCUGUUUAGAAUGACAAAGGAUUCUUGAAAAUCUGUGUUACUAGGUGGUGUGGAAAUAGUUGGCCUGAAAAUCUAAGCUACAACUUUCUCUAACAUCUGGAUCUCCUCAAAUUAUCUUCUGUCAAAGACCAUUUAUGUCCUUCAUUAUGGUUUGCAUUUUAUGAGGUUCUCCCGUUGGCACAAUAUUUAACCUUGUUAUUUUUUGUUCUGAAAAAUCUUUAUCUUCAAGCACGUCAAGUUAUAUACAAAUUUCGUUCCUUUUCAAAAUAUUAUUGAAUAACAAUGUUUUAACAAGUAUAUCCAGUUAUCCACAUGCCUUUGUUGCUUUUAUUAAAUCAUGAAUGAGAUUUGAGUUGUCCAUUUUUUCCUUAAAUAUGUGGACUCUUUCCUCUGUUGAUUUCUGAUUCUGUUAGCAUGUUUCAAUGAAAAGUUUAAGUGUGAUUUGGUUUCAGUGAUGAAUUUAGCACCUAUUUAUUGAAAUCUACUUAUGUGAAAUGAUCGAGUUAAUAUGGAAGAUGACAUAACCAGGAAUCUAACCACCAGUAGGUCAAUGUCAUUUCUGGCGAAGCCAGUGCAAUAUUUUUUAUCAUAGUAUUGCAAAGUGUUUGUGUUACAAAACUCUUCAUGCCUUGGCUCCUGCACUUUUUGACUGCGAUUCUUAUGUGAAAAUGAUUUUUGCCUCUCCUCUUGUGUGACUGAUAUAUGCUGUUAGCUGCGUGUGAAAAUUCCUUAGGUUUAACUUUAGCACAACUUCACUAUGUCUAGCUAAAAGAUGUUGUAUUAUCUAAAAAUUUCCCUAUGUGUACUCCUGCUGAUUGCAUUUCCUAGUUAAUUUUAUGCCUUCCUUUUCAUUCCAUGGAUUCCAUUGUGAUAUUCCUGAUUCCUGACUCCCUGUAGGUUUAGAUGGAUUCCAAGAGUAGAAUAUCCACCUACAAGUGUGUUCUACAGUAUUAUGGUUAUUGUGAUCAUCUGUGAUCCAUCUGCUUUUGAUCUCGAUGUCAUGUGUUGUUCCUUUGUGUGUUGUUGAGAUCCGUACACUAUUUGGUAUCUCAUGUGUUAAACUAUGGUGCGGCAAUGAGGAGCUGUUCAUAUUUGCCUCCACUUGUCCCAUAAUUGAUUGCCAAAUCAAGUAAAUGACAAGGCCAAUUCUUAUGGAUUUCCAGUAGUGAUUCCUUGCACUUAUGCAUGUCACCUUUCCUUCUUCAAGGGAAUGAGUACAUAGUACUAAUACCAUCCACAGAAGUCGUAGUAAGUGACGAGGCAUGAGUACCAAUUAGCAAAUUUUAUGUUUUAUAGUUUUCACUUAUUUUUCUUUUUUUCUUUUUGGCAUCAAAUGGUCCUGUAUAGAACAAAAAAAGACAACUGUUUGUAGUUCUGGUUGAUUGGAGAGAUUAGAAGUACAACAAGAACGGGAAAACUUCCAGCUUAAAAAUAAAAAUAUCAAUUUGAAAAUCAGCAGCAGAAGAAUAUCUUUUUCUUGCCUUAUCUAAAAAGAAAAGAAGAUAUAUGAAGGAACAUACUUGGAUUUGGACUUCUGCUUCUUUUUUGUAGCUUGAUUUCUGAAGUGGCAAUGCCAAUUUCAUCUUUUAUUUUGUCAUCUAAGUACUCAUUUUAUUUUAUUAGUGUUAAUAGAUAGUGCGAUAAUAAUGAUAUUGAGAAGGCAAUAUUUUUUUCCUACCCUCUAACUAUUUCUGUUCUUGUUGAAUUUACAGGUGAACCAAACGUUUA